AGAAGGCUAAGAUCGCCGAUGGCGCCGUCGAGAGCCCGUGGCCCUUCUACCCCCGUCUCGACGCCCUGAUCGGUGACUCCUUCCCCGCCAAGAAACCUCUGCCGUCGCACCCGCCGUCGCCUCCUCUUGCUCUCCCUCUCCCCUUNNNNNNNNNNNNNNNNNNNNGCCGUCGCACCCGCCGUCGCCUCCUCUUGCUCUCCCUCUCCCCUUCCACCGCAAGGGAUCCCCCCUCCCGGCGGCUGCGGCCGCCGCAGCCGCUGCCGCCGCCGCAGCGCGCCCUCUGGACUCGAAGGAAAAGCGCCCAGCGGCCACCGCGCUCCCCGUGGAUGACGCCUUCUUCCGGCGGAACUACUCCGCGGCGGCCGCGGCCGCCGCGGAGAGGGAGUCCGAGUCCUCUUCGAGAUCCAGUGUGGAGAGGUCCAGGUCGAGCAGGGAAAGGAUUGCGAGGGGGUUGAAAAGGAGAAGGGAAGGCUACGGAGAGGGUUUCCGGCAGCUGGCGAGGGCGAUCCUAAGGCUGGGGGAGAUCUACGAGAAGAUAGAAGAGGAGAAGCAGCAGCAGAUGAUCGAUCUUGAGAAGCAGCGGAUGGAAUUUGCUAAGGGGCUGGAGUUCCAAAGGAUGCAGAUCUUUGUGGAUUCCCAGGUCCAGCUGGAGAAGAUCAAGCGAUCCAAGCGAGUUGAUGCUGGUGAGCAUGGGUCUUCUUCCGGUGCUAUUCAUUUUCUUUUCGGAUCUCCCGUGUUUAAUGUGUAAAAGGUUGGUCCUUUCGUAAGAUAGAUUCAUGGUUUGAUUUUGUGCAGUGUAGCGAAAGCAGCUUUAUUUGUCUGGAUCUAUUUCUUUUCUAUUUUCUAUAAGUAAUUUGUUUUUGGCGUGUUAGACUUCUGUUUAUGGAUUUGAGUCGUCGUCUGAUGGAAACGUAGUUCUGGAACCGCUGGAACUGUUUUGAAUUUAUUGUCGUGUAUUUCUUUUUGUAAACAUUUCGAUGGGGUCUGAAUUCCUGAAUGGAGUUGCUUUUGCCCUUUCUUUUGGGGCAGAACAAGUGACACGUUGAUCUUUAGCACGUUGUUUCCAGGAAUACAUAUGCUAUUUGACUUAUUUUAUCGGUAUAUGAUACUGGGAAGUAUUCAAUGAUUAGGAUCUUGUUGUAAUUGAACCCACAGAAGGGUCUUGUUUUUCCUUCGCAUUGAUAAUUUGUCAUAGCUACAUUUUUUUCCUUCUUUCUUCACAUUGUUUCAAAAGUGCUUUAAUUGAUAGAAAGAAUGUGAAUUGAUUUGAAUUUGUUGUGUAAGUUUUUGGUUACUGCAUCUUUCCCUUCAUUGGGUGCAGCAUUUGUAGAUGGCCGAAAGGGAUUUCCGAGAGUUCUAUUGAUUAAAUAAGUCAUUGUAAUGGUCUGACCUUUUUUGAUUCUUGGGAAGUGGUAUUUUUGGCUAUUAUCUUUGCUGUUACUGUUUCUUAGUCAUCUUGAUUGCUGACCUGGUUUUAGUCACCAGAGAAGCAGAAUACUUGUUGAGUCAUCUUUAUUUGAAU
Molecule: long non-coding RNA, 1522 nt
Filed under: Elaeis guineensis (African oil palm)
Lineage: Eukaryota; Viridiplantae; Streptophyta; Magnoliopsida; Arecales; Arecaceae
Description: long non-coding RNA (EGUI_LNC006552)
Source: RNAcentral